UUAUCCCCCUCAGUGA
RNAcentral lists this transfer RNA (16 nucleotides) under Urosaurus graciosus. RNAcentral's name for it is "partial tRNA-Lys". Lineage: Eukaryota; Metazoa; Chordata; Lepidosauria; Squamata; Phrynosomatidae. The record is from RNAcentral.